Molecule: ribosomal RNA, 253 nt
Filed under: uncultured bacterium
Lineage: Bacteria
Description: partial 16S ribosomal RNA
Rfam family: Bacterial small subunit ribosomal RNA
Source: RNAcentral
UACGAAGGGAGCUAGCGUUAUCCGGAAUGAUUGGGCGUAAAGCGUCCGCAGGUGGCUAUGUAAGUCUGCUGUUAAAGAGUGAGGCUCAACCUCAUAAGAGCAGUGGAAACUACAUAGCUAGAGUGCGUUCGGGGCAGAGGGAAUUCCUGGUGUAGCGGUGAAAUGCGUAGAUAUCAGGAAGAACACCGGUGGCGAAAGCGCUCUGCUAGGCCGCAACUGACACUGAGGGACGAAAGCUAGGGGAGCGAAUGGG